Molecule: long non-coding RNA, 806 nt
Filed under: Astyanax mexicanus (Mexican tetra)
Lineage: Eukaryota; Metazoa; Chordata; Actinopteri; Characiformes; Acestrorhamphidae
Description: lncRNA (ENSAMXG00005001301.1)
Source: RNAcentral
UAUAAACUAUAUACAGCUGAUAUAAACAGGCUUUAAUCAUAGCUCAUCACUCAUCAUUUCAUUAUUCUUUUCAGUUAAAGACUAUACAAAAUUUCUAACAGUGGUACUCCUGACUGACAAUACAAAUUUCUUUCUAGUUUGAUGUCGUCUACAAAAAGAAAUAUGGGGGUCUCUUCAUCAGGACCGUUGUGCUAUCUUUCUCACCUUCGCCCACCCGUGCUGAGUCAAAUGUUGAAGCAGAUGUUCAGCUGAUAUUUAACGAGAAUUCCACAAAGCCUGUUCCAGCUACUGCAGACAUUGUGGACACUCUGAAAGGGGCAAUUUCAAACACAAGCUCAGGAUUCAACUUGACAGUGGACCCUGCUAGCAUCACAGUCCUCAGUGUACCGCAGAUGCUCCCUGUUAUAUUCCUGACAAAUGAUACAUUUGUAACAGCUCUUUCAGACUCCACCUCAGACUUAUUUACCAACAGGUCAAUAAUCAUCAAAACAAGUCUUGAACCUUUUUUCACAGCUGACUUCCCUUCAGCGUUCAGCAGCUUGAUAAUUUCAAAUUUCAGUAAUGGAGGUCUCAGCAUGACAGGUCAAACGAGGAUUCUGAAUCAGAUGGACGUCUUUUUUGGGUCGUCUGCUGCACUUCCCAACAGCACCCAGAUCGCACAAACUUUAAUUAAAGCAGCUAAAAACAACACCCUCCCCUUUCAGAUCUUCACCUCACAGAUCACAGUGAAUGGCACGGGUAAGUCACUUUUUGCUGGUUAAGGAGAGAAUUGCUUCUGUUGAAUUCAGCAACAUCAAAAGCUUUAG